RNAcentral lists this ribosomal RNA (440 nucleotides) under uncultured bacterium. RNAcentral describes it as "partial 16S ribosomal RNA". It matches the Rfam family "Bacterial small subunit ribosomal RNA", at positions 338 to 795 of the family's 1533-position model. The record is from RNAcentral.
CCUACGGGAGGCAGCAGUGGGGAAUAUUGCACAAUGGGGGAAACCCUGAUGCAGCGACGCCGCGUGAGCGAUGAAGUAUUUCGGUAUGGAAAGCUCUAUCAGCAGGGAAGAAAAUGACGGUACCUGACUAAGAAGCCCCGGCUAACUACGUGCCAGCAGCCGCGGUAAUACGGAGGGGGCAAGCGUUAUCCGGAUUUACUGGGUGUAAAGGGAGCGUAGACGGGGAUGCAAGCCAGAUGUGAAAGCCCGGGGCUCAACCCCUGGACUGCAUUUGGGACUGUAUGGCUGGAGUGUCGGAGAGGUAGGCGGAAUUCCUGGUGUAGCGGUGAAAUGCGUAGAUAUUAGGAGGAACACCAGUGGCGAAGGCGGCCUGCUGGACGAUGACUGACGUUGAGGCUCGAAAGCGUGGGGAGCAAACAGGAUUAGAUACCCUAGUAGUC